UAGCCGUAAACGAUACUCGCUAGGUGUCGGCCACGGUGCGACCGUUGUCGGUGCCGUAGGGAAGCCGUGAAGCGAGCCACCUGGGAAGUACGGCCGCAAGGCUGAAACUUAAAGGAAUUGGCGGGGGAGGCACCACAACGGGUGGAGCCUGCGGUUUAAUUUGGACUCAACGCCGGGAAGCUCACCGGAUAAGACAGCGGAAUGAUUGCCGGGCUGAAGACCCUGCAUGACCAGCUGAGAGGUGGUGCAUGGCGUAGUCGUGU
This 263-nucleotide ribosomal RNA is filed under the name uncultured archaeon. RNAcentral's name for it is "partial 16S ribosomal RNA". It matches the Rfam family "Archaeal small subunit ribosomal RNA", at positions 748 to 1009 of the family's 1478-position model. The record is from RNAcentral.